Andrographis paniculata is the source of this 162-nucleotide small nuclear RNA. RefSeq annotates it as U1 spliceosomal RNA. The transcript has a single exon. Lineage: Eukaryota; Viridiplantae; Streptophyta; Magnoliopsida; Lamiales; Acanthaceae. The record is from RefSeq and is a predicted model, not a curated record.
AUACUUACCUGGAUGGGUCGAUAGGCUAUCAACAAAGGUCCAUGGCUUAGAUUGAUGACCUUCAUUGCAUUUGGAAGCGCACAUGCCUGAAGUCGGCUCAAACUGGUCGAGCCUACAUCAUAAUUUGUGACAGCGAUGAGCCUAUGUUCGCACGCCCUUACC